RNAcentral lists this transfer RNA (72 nucleotides) under Apaloderma vittatum (bar-tailed trogon). It matches the Rfam family "tRNA". From Rfam's summary of the family: Transfer RNA (tRNA) molecules are approximately 80 nucleotides in length. The record is from Rfam by way of RNAcentral. Lineage: Eukaryota; Metazoa; Chordata; Aves; Trogoniformes; Trogonidae.
GGCCGGUUAGCUCAGCUGGUUGAGCAUGGUGCUGAUAACACCAAGGUCAUGGGUUCAAUUCCCAUUCGGUCC